This 646-nucleotide long non-coding RNA is filed under the name Sparus aurata (gilthead seabream). Its description in RNAcentral is "lncRNA (ENSSAUG00010013993.1)". The record is from RNAcentral. Lineage: Eukaryota; Metazoa; Chordata; Actinopteri; Spariformes; Sparidae.
GCGUCAUUUGGAUGAGGGGCAGCGAAGGAACAGGCGGGAAACGGAACAAUGAAAUAAGAUUAUGGCAGAAUUCAGGAGGAUUAUCACUGUAUACCUCCUGGAACCUUUUCUGAAGGACUUGAUGGUCUGGUCCCAAGACUGCUGAAGGUGUACAAUGCAGCAACCAAAUCUGGAAAGAAGCAGUCACUAAAAAACAUUUUGGACUGCCUUGUGAGAGAUGUAAGUGGAAGAGGGGAUGACUAGAAAAUUAGGCAGCCUUUGUGUUUGUCAUAACAUUCAUUUUACUGCUUGUUUCUUUGUUUUGUAGGACACAAAUGAGAGAAGAAGGGCUGCUGCUCUGCUUGGUCUGCCAUACUACAUACCAGGCGAAGAUCCAUCAAAUGUCAUCAGGAUGUGUGAUUUUCAUGCUGAGAACCUGGAUGAAGCCAUGAGGGAGAUGCAGCUUGGAAUCCUGAUAGGCUAUGAAGGCAAAUGAGGGGCCAUUCCAAACGAGAAGACAAAGAAGGGAAUAAAGCAAAGAAGGGAGGCAUGAAGAAAAAAAGGAGGAAGGGGGGCAUGUUAUUGUUUAACAUGCAUAAAUGACUGGCUUUUGGGUUUGCCAUCUGUUAAAAUUGCAUUCGACAAAGAAUCAAACUGUAAGGUGCUG